GACGAACGCUGGCGGCGUGCCUAAUACAUGCAAGUAGCACGCUGAAGAGAGGAGCUUACUCUUCUUGGAUGAGUUGCGAACGGGUGAGUAACGCGUAGGUAACCUGCCUUGUAGCGGGGGAUAACUAUUGGAAACGAUAGCUAAUACCGCAUAACAAUGGAUGACACAUGUCAUUUAUUUGAAAGGGGCAAUUGCUCCACUACAAGAUGGACCUGCGUUGUAUUAGCUAGUAGGUGAGGUAAUGGCUCACCUAGGCGACGAUACAUAGCCGACCUGAGAGGGUGAUCGGCCACACUGGGACUGAGACACGGCCCAGACUCCUACGGGAGGCAGCAGUAGGGAAUCUUCGGCAAUGGGGGCAACCCUGACCGAGCAACGCCGCGUGAGUGAAGAAGGUUUUCGGAUCGUAAAGCUCUGUUGUAAGUCAAGAACGGGUGUGAGAGUGGAAAGUUCACACUGUGACGGUAGCUUACCAGAAAGGGACGGCUAACUACGUG
This 497-nucleotide ribosomal RNA is filed under the name uncultured bacterium. Its description in RNAcentral is "partial 16S ribosomal RNA". It matches the Rfam family "Bacterial small subunit ribosomal RNA", at positions 28 to 507 of the family's 1533-position model. The record is from RNAcentral.